This 2307-nucleotide long non-coding RNA is filed under the name Pan troglodytes (chimpanzee). Its description in RNAcentral is "long non-coding RNA NONPTRT012687". Lineage: Eukaryota; Metazoa; Chordata; Mammalia; Primates; Hominidae. The record is from RNAcentral.
AGGAAUCGGAGACAUCCAAGGCCAUUCCAUUUCUAGAUCACACUUAUCCCUCAAUCAAGUCAGUGACUGGAUCAUCUCCUAAGGUUUCACCUGCUUUGCAUCAGUGAGUUGGACUAUGGAUCAGGUACUGUGCUCAGCAUCAGAAAAUGGGAUGACAAUGAACAGAGUAACACGACUAUAUUUCUGAAAAAGGAUGAACUUACUGGAAACAGGAUUGCGUGCCUGAAAUAGACCCAAAUGGAUAUAAAUGUCAACUCAGUUCUGGGCUGGAGAUAUAGAUUUGGAAUGCACCAACAAUGCAGAUGGUAAUCCUGGCAUGCGAGUAGGGCUCAAGCACCUCUUACUGCCUCCUCACUCUGGAACCAAAUGCCUUACUGUAAGUGGCAUCUAGAUCUUGCCAGUGACUUUCCUGUACAGGGCCUACAGGAAAUGGUUUUCUCAGCAUUUAAGUGACAGGAUCACAGAAUGUGAAUUUUGAACAGAUCUGAAAAGUUAUUAAGUUCAACUCCACAGAGGUGAGUAAUGUGCCCAUAAGUGUGGCUGAAGAUGAGUGGCGCUAACACAGUGCUGUGAGUCCGACCCCCAGUCCAGCACUCUUUCCAUGUCGUCUAACUCGCUCUCAUUUACCUUCACAUAAAGUGACAAAGGGGCCUGAUGCGUAACUUCCUCCAGCCACUCCCCAUUCCCAGUUAUUAUUCCAAAGAAAUGUUGCUGGGGAAAAGUGAAGAUGUGACUUGAUGGGGCAAGCUGCCACUCUGCCUUCCUUCCUAUGAUAACUUACUAGUAAAUAAUGCAUUCCUUCUGGAAUUUAAUUUCACAUUUUCAAAGGCCAAAGACAGCUUGUAGUAAAUCUUUAUACUUAUAAAAAAGCAUUUUAAACAGCAUAACAUUUAUAAUAUAGUUUUCCCCUUGACCUCCCCAAGAAAUAAAAUUUUAUAACAUUUACUUGGUAUCAUAUUGUAAGGCACCCUUGGCAGUUUUCUUUUAUUGCUUAUGUUAGAGAUCUGAUCAGUGACAAUCUUUAAAAAAGAUCUCACAGAUUCAUUAGCCUCCACUUUUUUCUCUGAGAACUGUAGAAGAGUUGACUCAACAGCCCAGCAGGGGGUUGGCACGCUGGUUUCUAAGCGGCUUUAAUGCACAAUUCACCAGGGUCAGGAGCUGACCCUCAACCUUUUAGCUUAGGCACUAGAUUAGCAUACUGAAGACUGCUGGGGUGGAGUCACAGUAACUAAGUUGACAAGACUGAUUUAUAAAACCAAAAUAGUAUCAAUGUUCAAAAAGAAACAGAUCUGUCCCACAAACAGAAGUAUAAGCACCUGCAGCUCCAGCCCAUUGCCUCAAGUCCAGUUCAUACAAUAAGAAACAACUGUCACGGCAACCAGUAUAUUUGAGAGGACAUGAAUAAUGCAUUCUCUUCCCAUGAGCUAACCUACACUGGAAAAGAAAGUAAUCAGUACAAGUUGGAUUGGUGGGACUGGAAUCAGAACAAGGGAAAUCAGAGUCAGAGAAUGUUGAAUUGUGCUAAGCUGAUGUAUUCCUUUCACAAUAAGGAUGCAUUCUAGGCAGAGGGACUGGGAAUUGGAAAGAUAUUACUGGCUAUAAUCUGAUGCAUCCAUUGCACCUAGUGAAGGCUCACCAUAUGGUCAGAAUACUCGAUGCACACUGAUACAACUCUCUACAUCCAUCUCUGUGUUAGGGACAAAUGUUACUUUACUCUUGCACAGAACUUGGACAGUCACUUUUAAUAUCUGUCUUUUCUUUUUCUAUUUUCAUUACUGAUACCUUCUGCCCCUUCUUUCUGACUAAAACUCUCAUUCAAUAAAAUUAUAGUCAAAUCUUGCAAUUGGAAAAGUAUUCAGACUUUUAAAGUUAUAUUUAUAUAUCUAAAUGUUGCUCCAUUAGGGUUUUAAUUCUAAAUUUAACCUUUAAAAAGUUAUCAUAUUUUCUUUAUUUCCAGGUUCCUAGGAGAAUGUUAACAGUCCAGACCUUUUUCACUACAUCAACCAUGGAUGACUGGCAUAUAAAAUCCUACUUAACCUUUACAUAACUGCAAUACCAGGAAACAAAUAUGUCAAUAAAAGGAAACAUCAUUCAAUUUUUCUAAGAAUGCAUUCUUCCAUCAUUCCUGAAGUAGAGGUUUUUCUAUAAUCAUGUUAAGAACAUAAGCUCCUGAGGGCAGGAAUUUCUGCUUUGUUCAUUGAUUUAUCCCAACUGCCAAGAACAGUGGAGUGCUCAAUAAAUAUUAAAUGAAUAAAUAAAUAUAACCUAUAACCUAAACUACAUUCUUAAAAAAAGUCAACAUCCAGG